RNAcentral lists this transfer RNA (555 nucleotides) under Trichormus anomalus HA4352-LM2. RNAcentral describes it as "16S-23S ribosomal RNA intergenic spacer". The stretch from base 285 to 357 matches the Rfam family "tRNA". The record is from RNAcentral. Lineage: Bacteria; Bacillati; Cyanobacteriota; Cyanophyceae; Nostocales; Nostocaceae.
UUUAGGGAGACCUAUACCCCUCAAGUAUCAAAAGCCAGCGUGCAAAUAGAUCAUGAGAUGGUCAAACCUAGGUCGGUCGCAAGAAAAAUUGUCAGGCUUUCAAACUAUGAUUGGUUCGGAUUGGGGCUAUUAGCUCAGGUGGUUAGAGCGCACCCCUGAUAAGGGUGAGGUCCCUGGUUCGAGUCCAGGAUGGCCCACCUGAACAAGUAAAAAGAGCAAAGUAAAAAGUAAAAAGAAAGUAUUUAUUCUUUUGACUUUUGACUUUUAACUUUUGCCUUGAGUCUGGGGGUUUAGCUCAGUUGGUAGAGCGCCUGCUUUGCAAGCAGGAUGUCAGCGGUUCGAGUCCGCUAACCUCCACCUGAAAAAAGAGAAAGGAAAAAACUCAGCAACAAGGCGAAAGCCAGACUGCUGGGAUGAAUACCAGCCAGAACCUUGAAAACUGCAUAGAAAAGCGAGAAAAGUAGGCAGUCAUGAGUCGGAGGUCAGAAGUCAUGGGUUUUUAGCCAUGGCAAAUGAAGAAAGACUUGUGAACAAAAGCAGACACCAAAUGUUUAG